Mycena crocata is the source of this 89-nucleotide non-coding RNA. The record is from the annotation of a GenBank genome assembly. Lineage: Eukaryota; Fungi; Basidiomycota; Agaricomycetes; Agaricales; Mycenaceae.
GCCCAUGUAGAUCAAUGGUAGAUCGCCUCAAACUUGUAUACGGAUAGCGUGGUAACAGGGAGACGGAGGUUCGAGUCCUUCCGUGGGCA